This 465-nucleotide ribosomal RNA is filed under the name uncultured bacterium. RNAcentral's name for it is "partial 16S ribosomal RNA". It matches the Rfam family "Bacterial small subunit ribosomal RNA", at positions 28 to 507 of the family's 1533-position model. The record is from RNAcentral.
GACGAACGCUGGCGGCGUGCUUAACACAUGCAAGUCGAACGGAAAGGCCCCUUUGGGGGUACUCGAGUGGCGAACGGGUGAGUAACACGUGAGUAACCUGCCCUUGACUUCGGGAUAACUUCAGGAAACUGGGGCUAAUACCGGAUAGGAAUCCUUGCUGCAUGGUGGGGGUUGGAAAGCUUCGGCGGUUUUGGAUGGACUCGCGGCUUAUCAGCUUGUUGGUGGGGUAGUGGCUUACCAAGGCUUUGACGGGUAGCCGGCCUGAGAGGGCGACCGGCCAUAUUGGGACUGAGAUACGGCCCAGACUCCUACGGGAGGCAGCAGUGGGGAAUAUUGCACAAUGGGCGGAAGCCUGAUGCAGCAACGCCGCGUGCGGGAUGACGGCCUUCGGGUUGUAAACUGCUUUCAGCAGGGGCGAAGCUUGUGGUGACGGUACCUGCAGAAGAAGCACCGGCUAACUACGUG